UCCGUUGGUGAACCAGCGGAGGGGUCAUUA
RNAcentral lists this ribosomal RNA (30 nucleotides) under Fusarium fujikuroi. RNAcentral's name for it is "partial 18S ribosomal RNA". RNAcentral also lists the same sequence under 1 other name. The record is from RNAcentral. Lineage: Eukaryota; Fungi; Ascomycota; Sordariomycetes; Hypocreales; Nectriaceae.